UCCGGUUUGUCACCGGCAGUCUCACUAGAGUGCCCGUUUCCGUAGCAACUAGUGACAAGGGUUGCGCUCGUUGAUGGACUUAACCAAACAUCUCACGACACGAGCUGACGACGGCCAUGCAUCAUCUGUCACUUGGUUCAAUAAAGCACUCUCUCCUUUCGGAGAAAUUCCAAGGAUGUCAAGCCCUGGUAAGGUUCUUCGUUUAGCAUCGAAUUAAAGAACAUGAUCCACCGCUUGUGCGGGUCCCCGUCAAUUCCUUUAUGUUUUAGUCUUGCGACCGUACUCCACAGGCGGGAUACUUAACGCGUUAGCUUCGCUACUGAAGGGGUCGAUACCACCAACAGCUAGUAUCCAUCGUUUACGGCGUGGACUAC
RNAcentral lists this unclassified non-coding RNA (374 nucleotides) under uncultured bacterium. Its description in RNAcentral is "contains 16S-23S intergenic spacer region". The record is from RNAcentral.